Rhipicephalus sanguineus (brown dog tick) is the source of this 393-nucleotide long non-coding RNA. RefSeq lists it as uncharacterized. The transcript has 3 exons. NCBI's taxonomy places the organism in Eukaryota, Metazoa, Arthropoda, Arachnida, Ixodida, Ixodidae. The record is from RefSeq and is a predicted model, not a curated record.
AAAACGGAAUAACCAUGCACCAUGUGGGUGUGCGCACCGCCUCCAAGAAACUGCUCAUAUCAGCACCCGCUCGGAUGCUUUAUCUCUGAACCUACCUCAAGUCAGCAGAGGAUGUUCCACUACAGAAAGUAAAUUCGUCGUCCCAAAUCCUCACAAGGAAACUGGACAAAAGAGAGAUCAUUGGUUUCCAAGCUACCCACACCAAGUCGUAAGAAGCUCAAGAGUCGCCUAUCCACCACCAAAGUUUACCAGGCGGACAAAUGCAAGCCUUAUACUGAAAAGCAGUGAUAGUGUACGGCAUGUUGAAGCAGUACGAAAUUGGGUCCACAAAUUAUUGCUUCUUGCUUCAUGAAUUACUCAGUUUAGAGGAAAUGUGCUGGCUUCAAAUUUCUU